CACUCAGUGGCUUGACAUGGGAAUCUUUCACUGUCAGAGUUAAGAUGACACAUCAGCAUUUACAGCACACGAAACACUUGAGAAUUUUAUUCUAAAGUGUCAUUUAUAGAGGAUUUGGAUUUGGAUUUACCAAACUAGCAGGAUGAACCUCUCCGAAGAAUGUGAGGAAGACAUUUCUGCUUCCUUAAAACAUUUGGAUCCAACCCUACAGGAGAGAUUAGACUCUCCAGAACCCAGCUGUGUGUCCAUGAAGAGUGAUGUAUCUAUGAAUAUUUCACUACACUUCAGUGAUGGAGGGUCUACAUCUGGACACAGUCCAUUCCAGCAGGAGAGAUCAGACUCUCCAGAACCCAGCUGUGUGCCCAUGAAGAGUGAUGCAUCAAUGGUUCCACUAAUGUUCAAUGACGGAGACUCUAAAUAUGGACACAGCACUGCCUUAAUGCUCUUGGGCAUGGAAUUCACCAGAGCUUCACAGGGUGCUACUGGAAUCCUCUUCCACUCUUCCAUGAUGACAUCCUGGAGCUGGUGGAUGUUAGACACCUUGUGCUCUUCCUACUUCUGCUUGAGGAUGCCCCACAGGAGUUGAACUGCAGUAGCAUUCCUCCAAGGUGCUGUCUAUUGGAAUGACAAAGUUUUAGCAUAAACUGCUGCAAACUCAUUCAUAAGACUGACAAUGUUUGAGUUGAAGCUAUCAAAUAAAGCAUCAACAGAAUCUGAUUGUUUGCAUGGUGCAUUUUAUAAAUAAAAGUGUAGCUGUGUUGUAAUUUAUAAACCUUUUCUUAAAGCAAAUGUGUCUGGUCUUAGGAUUUAGUGACAUCCUCAUUUCAAAGAAAACACAGUAAUGGUCUAACAAAUUGACAUCCAAUCCAACAGUGGCUGAUAUGUUAUUACCCUUUGAGAUAACCACACCCAGUGUGACCAUGAUAGUGAUGCUGAGAGAGUCCAAAAGAGUGCAAUAUAAAGAGUUCUUUGGCAUAAAUAUGAUUGGGAUUUUCAAUAUGUAUGUUAAAAUCACCAGCAAUAACAAAAUGUUUGCACUGAAAAGAAUCAUAAAACAGAGCAGUUAUGCCUCCACCUUUCUUGAUUGCACAAGACAUUUAUAAAGUUUGGUUGAGCCUUUUUAAAUAAUAUGGUUUCAGCACUACUUUUAACUAACCUUGUUUCUUUUACAAGCAGAAAAUCAAGCCCAUUGGCUAUAAUACUAUAAUGAAUCAAAUAAGGCUUGUUUGUGGGAGAUCUUAUAUUUAGAAGAGCUAAUUUAGUAACCUGUGCACUUUGCUCCUGAUGGUGUGACUCACAUUUUACUAAAAAUUGGAUUUAUUCACAUUGAAUGUACCUUUUGUUCUUUUAAUUUCUGAUAAAUCCUGGAAUGGGAGAGAUUUUCGGCACACAGGGUCUGAUCUCAUUUUGAAAAGUUUGUUUUGUAAAAACAAACUAAUUUGUUUUUUAUUAGCAUAAAGAAGAUCAUGAAAAUCAAAAUGCUCCUCAUAAUGCUUUACUUUUGCCAUCUCACCGAUCUGAUGCUACAUCUAAUGAAACUGAACCUGAACCUCAGAAGGACUUGAAAUUAAAUUUGAAAAAGAAGCUUAAGUUUUUAAAUGAAGUGAUAAACCAGGGAAACCCAACACUUCUCAGGGAAAUCUACACAGAUCUCCACAUCACAGAGGGAGCAGAGGUCAGUAAUGAACAUGAAUUCAGACAGAUAGAGGCAGCAUCCAGGAGAACAGCAAGAGAGGAGACACCAAUCAAAUGCACAGACAUAUAUAAGCCCUUACCAGAACAAGACAAACCCAUCAGAACUGUGCUGACAAAGGGAGUUGCUGGCAUUGGAAAAACAGUCUCUGUGCAGAAGUUCAUUCUGGACUGGGCUGAAGACAAAGCAAACCAGGAUGUCCAGUUCAUAUUUCCACUUC
Molecule: long non-coding RNA, 1913 nt
Organism: Pygocentrus nattereri (red-bellied piranha)
Lineage: Eukaryota; Metazoa; Chordata; Actinopteri; Characiformes; Serrasalmidae
Source: Ensembl